This 2094-nucleotide small RNA is filed under the name Pongo abelii (Sumatran orangutan). Its description in RNAcentral is "retained intron". The record is from RNAcentral. Lineage: Eukaryota; Metazoa; Chordata; Mammalia; Primates; Hominidae.
AACAAUGCAAAAACCAUAAUUACGUUUGCACCAAUCUAAUAGUUGUUUUAAAAAAAAUUUUGCUGGGCCAGGCACAGUGGCGCAUGCCUGUAGUGCCAGCUACGUGGGAAGCUGAGAAUCACUUGAGCCCAGGAGUUCUAGUCCAGCCUGGGUAACAUAGAGAGACCCCCAUCUCUUAAAAAAAUACUUAUUAGGCAGCACAUUUCUGAAAUUAAAGAAAGGUCAGCAAAUUUGGAACAUGUGCCCUUUUGUAAACAGAAGAGUGGAUGAGUUGAUUAUAAAUGGGACAUCUCUUCUGCUUACAUUCUACAAGUUAACCAGAGGGCUAUGUGGUAUAAAAGAUGUUUGUGGUCACAGCCUAGCUCAGGCUAGAGUGUUGCAGACACCAUCCCAAAUCCUCCAGGCUGGGCUCAAGGCUUCUCUAAACCCUUCUUUGUUGCAAAAUCCCAUCUUUUCAUGCUUCAUUGGUGACAUGUGGCCAUCUGCCACAUAGAACAAGUGAGAAUACUAGUUCCAUAUCUUUAUUAAAUAACCAUUUUUCUUUUGUAAAAAGAGAAUAAAUAGAAAUUCUGAUAUUUUUCUUCUCAUACUUCCCUCACUCACCCCUCUUUGGAAACCACUGCAUAACGGAGCUAGGGGGAGGAUAAACUAAUGUGCCUGAAAUUUUACCUUAGUCUUCAGCCUAUAAGAGAUCACUAUCUUUUUUCCCAUUUUCACCUAGUUUCACAGCAAAUUUACAUACGGGGGGAAAGGUAUUAUUAUUCUUAACAUGAAACCACAGUAUUUAUAAGAAAGAAAUUGUGAACUUUAAAGUGUAAAGAUAAGGGAACACUGGAAUGGCAAGCCUGCCUAAGGUUUUUCACUCUUUUUGUUUUGUUGUGUUUUUCUUUUUUACCCAACAGUGGGAUCUUUCUGUGCUUGCACGAGUUCUAACAAUAACACCUACUGGUGUUUGCGUACAGUUAAUGAGACGCAUAAUUUUCUUUUCUGUGAGUUUGCUACUGGCUUUUUGGAGUAUUUUGAUAUGAAUACAGAUCCUUAUCAGCUCACAAAUACAGUGCACACGGUAGAACGAGGCAUUUUGAAUCAGCUACACGUACAACUAAUGGAGCUCAGAAGCUGUCAAGGAUAUAAGCAGUGCAACCCAAGACCUAAGAAUCUUGAUGUUGGAAAUAAAGAUGGCGGAAGCUAUGACCUACACAGAGGACAGUUAUGGGAUGGAUGGGAAGGUUAAUCAGGCCCAUCUCACUGCAGACAUCAACCGGCAAGGCCUAGAGGAGAUGUGAAUGAAACAUGAGUACAGACAAAACUACAGACUUAGUCUGGUGGACUGGACUAAUUACUUGAAGGAUGUAGAUAGAGUAUUUGCACUGCUGAAGAGUCACUAUGAGCAAAAUAAAACAAAUAAGACUCAAACUGCUCAAAGUGACGGCUUCCUGGUUGUCUCUGCUGAGCACGCUGUGUCAGUGGAGAUGGCCUCUGCUGACUUAGAUGAAGACCCAAGGCAUACGGUUGGGAAAACACCUCAUUUGACCUUGCCAGCCGACCUUCGAACCCUGCAUUUGAACCGACCAACAUUAAGUCCAGAGAGUAAACUUGAAUGGAAUAACGACAUUCCAGAAGUUAAUCGUUUGAAUUCUGAACACUGGAGAAAAACUGAAAAAUGGAUGGGGCAUGAAGGGACCAAUCAUCUGGAAACCGAUUUCAGUGGCGAUGGCAUGACAGAGCUAGAGCUGAGGCCCAGCCCCAGGCUGCAGCCCAUUCGCAGGCACCCGAAAGAACUUCCCCAGGAUGGUGGUCCUGGAAAGGACAUUUUUGAAGAUCAGCUAUAUCUUCCUGCGCAUUCCGAUCCGCAUUCAGUUCAUCAAAUGUUCACCAUGGCCACCGCAGAACACCCAAGUAAUUCCAGCAUAGUGGGGAAGAUGUUGACCAAGGUGGAGAAAAAUCACGAAAAGGAGAAGUCACAGCACCUAGAAGGCAGCGCCUCCUCUUCACUCUCCUCUGAUUAGAUGAAAUUGUUACCUUACCCUAAAUACAGUAUUUCUUUUUAACUUUUUUAUUUGUAAACUAAUAAGGGUAAUCAUAGCCACCAAC